GACAUUUCUGUGGUAAGAAAUAAAUGAUUUUGUUUCAUAAAUUACAUGUUCAAACUUAAAUGAUCUUGUGUCAGAAUAGUCUGUGCACAAAGUAUCUAUGGAAUAUAUUUAAAGUAGCAGAUGAAUCAUUUAAAACGAACAGUGUGAAGCAUUGUGGCAGCCAGCAUUGAAUUAGACUUAACGUUACAAGUAAAUCAUGUUUUAUUUUAUAUAUUAGCGUUCAUAGAACUGGACUACAUGUCUCAGCAACCUGUUUGCAAAGGAGUUGUCAGUGUUUCUGCGGUAUAUCGCCUGCCCGCUCGCAGAAGCAGUACUGCGGGGUUCACUACAGAGCAUCACUACAGCGUGCGUCGCGUUGUACAGGGACCGCUGAAGGAAGCGCUUGUUGCGAUGUGAUUUCAGACUGUUUCUCCGCUCAAUUAUAUCAAGUAACGUUACAGCAGACAUUUUUUAAACAGUGGGUGAGUAUAUCAUUAUAUUAUGUUGUUGCAUCAAUAAAUAUGUUUAUAAUACAUUUAAACAUGGUUUUUGUUCCUUGUUGUUUCUGUGUUUAGCAUCAGAGAGAGAGAGAGAGAGGGAGAGAGAUGUCGUCUUGAUGUUGUCAUAUGCUUCAUGAAAUCAUGCACGUGCGAUUUGGUAAAAACCUUUAGAGACUGCUGACAAUCAACAUCUUAGACGUGUAGAGACAGAAAGAAAAUGUUGGUGUUGCAGAUCUGGAGAGGGACGCUUGCACUGCUCAUUUGACCAUUUCUCUUCCGUUUGGACAAUCGCUUCAAUACCCCUUGUUGAGAAAAAAACAGCAUCAGAAUGAAUGGUGUCAAUAUCCUGACUGAAGACGUAGAAGUGACAGAGGCAUUAAAGUAACUUAAAGCUGUCUGUUCUUCAGUGUGACAUAUGCAAUAAAUUUCCUUUAGCACUCUUUGUUUGAACUUUUUAGCGGCUACAAAAGACUGUCUAUCCUGAUUCCCAAAUUGUACAACCAUAUUUAUGAUGUAUUAUGAAUUGCUUUGCCAUUAUGAACCUUGUGAUUUUUGGUUUAAUGUGAGUUUGUACAUUUAAAGACUUAACUAUUUGUGGUUGAAUGCUCUCACACUAAAAUUACUUUUAGUGUUGUUUCACUAGUAAGUUAACAUUUUUCUUUAAUUCUUAGAUUAUGUAUCAUUUAUUUUGGUGAUAUUGCUUUCAUUAUUUAUG
Long non-coding RNA from Triplophysa rosa, 1194 nucleotides. RefSeq lists it as uncharacterized. The transcript has 4 exons. The record is from RefSeq and is a predicted model, not a curated record. NCBI's taxonomy places the organism in Eukaryota, Metazoa, Chordata, Actinopteri, Cypriniformes, Nemacheilidae.